UAGGGAAUAUUGGACAAUGGGCGCAAGCCUGAUCCAGCCAUGCCGCGUGAGUGAAGAAGGCCCUCGGGUUGUAAAGCUCUUUUGUCCGGAAAGAAAAGCAUCGGGCUAAUACCCUGGUGUUCUGACGGUACCGGAAGAAUAAGCACCGGCUAACUUCGUGCCAGCAGCCGCGGUAAUACGAAGGGUGCAAGCGUUACUCGGAAUUACUGGGCGUAAAGCGUGCGUAGGUGGUUUGUUAAAGUCUGAUGUGAAAGCCCUGGGCUCAACCUGGGAAUGGCAUUGGAAACUGGCGGACUCGAGUGCGGUAGAGGGGUGUGGAAUUCCCGGUGUAGCAGUGAAAAUGCGUAGAGAUCGGGAGGAACACCAGUGGCGAAAGGCGACACCCUGGACCAGCACUGACACUGAGGCACGAAAAGCGUGGGGAGCAAAACAGGAUUAAGAUACCCUGGUAGUCCACGCCCUAAAACGAUGCGAAACUGGAUGUUGGGUGCAACUUGGCACUCAGUAUCGAAGCUAAACGCGUUAAAGUUCGCCGCCUGGGGGAGUACGGUCGCAAGACUGAAAACUU
Molecule: ribosomal RNA, 568 nt
Filed under: uncultured bacterium
Lineage: Bacteria
Description: partial 16S ribosomal RNA
Rfam family: Bacterial small subunit ribosomal RNA
Source: RNAcentral